ACGGGAGGCAGCAGUGGGGAAUAUUGGGCAAUGGGGGAAACCCUGACCCAGCAACGCCGCGUGGAGGAAGAAGGUCUUCGGAUCGUAAACUCCUGUCCUAAGAGACGAGAAGAAGACGGUAUCUUAGGAGGAAGCACCGGCAAACUUCGUGCCAGCAGCCGCGGUAAUACGAGGGGUGCAAGCGUUGUUCGGAAUCACUGGGCGUAAAGGGAGCGUAGGCGGAGACGCAAGCAGUCUGUACAAUACCGGGGCCCAACCCCGGACCUGCAGACUGGACUGUGUCUCUUGGAUAGUUCAGGGGCAGGCGGAAUUCCUGGUGUAGCGGUGGAAUGCGUAGAGAUCAGGAAGAACACCGAUGGCGAAGGCAGCCUGCUGGGGACUCAUCGACGCUGAGGCUCGAAAGUGCGGGUAGCAAACAGGAUUAGAUACCCUGGUA
RNAcentral lists this ribosomal RNA (436 nucleotides) under uncultured Fibrobacter sp. Its description in RNAcentral is "bacterial SSU rRNA". It matches the Rfam family "Bacterial small subunit ribosomal RNA", at positions 341 to 792 of the family's 1533-position model. The record is from RNAcentral. Lineage: Bacteria; Pseudomonadati; Fibrobacterota; Fibrobacteria; Fibrobacterales; Fibrobacteraceae.